AGUGGAUGUUUAUGCAGUCCAGAGCAGCACCAAGUAGUUUGAUAGAAGAGCAACAGAUUUAUUUAUUAGAUAUUGUUACGUUGCUUUCCAUCAGUGGAAGUUCACGCAGAGCAGCACCAAGCAGUUUGAUUUCUAUCAAACUCUUCUGAGCGACAGCUUCAUUUAUUAGAUACACAAUGUUACGUCAUUCUUUAUCAGUGGAAAUUCAUACAGUGCAGAGUAGCAUGGAGCAGUUUUGAAGAAGAAAGA
Temnothorax curvispinosus is the source of this 249-nucleotide long non-coding RNA. RefSeq lists it as uncharacterized. NCBI's taxonomy places the organism in Eukaryota, Metazoa, Arthropoda, Insecta, Hymenoptera, Formicidae. The record is from RefSeq and is a predicted model, not a curated record. The transcript has 3 exons.